UGGCGAACGGGUGAGUAACGCGUGAGUAACCUGCCCUAGAGUGGGGGACAACAGUUGGAAACGACUGCUAAUACCGCAUAAGCCCACGGUACCGCAUGGCACUGAGGGAAAAGGAUUUAUUCGCUUUAGGAUGGACUCGCGUCCAAUUAGCUAGUUGGUGAGGUAACGGCCCACCAAGGCGACGAUUGGUAGCCGGACUGAGAGGUUGAACGGCCACAUUGGGACUGAGACACGGCCCAG
This 240-nucleotide ribosomal RNA is filed under the name uncultured bacterium. RNAcentral describes it as "partial 16S ribosomal RNA". It matches the Rfam family "Bacterial small subunit ribosomal RNA", at positions 96 to 334 of the family's 1533-position model. The record is from RNAcentral.